This 253-nucleotide ribosomal RNA is filed under the name uncultured bacterium. RNAcentral describes it as "partial 16S ribosomal RNA". It matches the Rfam family "Bacterial small subunit ribosomal RNA", at positions 524 to 776 of the family's 1533-position model. The record is from RNAcentral.
UACAGAGGGGGCAAGCGUUAUUCGGAAUUAUUGGGCGUAAAGGGCGCGUAGGCGGCUUUGCAAGUGGCGGGUGAAAUCCCUCGGCUUAACCGAGGAACUGCCUGUCAAACUGCAUGGCUUGAGACCGGGAGAGGUGAGUGGAAUUCCCAGUGUAGCGGUGAAAUGCGUAGAUAUUGGGAGGAACACCAGUGGCGAAGGCGGCUCACUGGACCGGUACUGACGCUGAUGCGCGAAAGCUAGGGGAGCAAACGGG